CAGAUUAUAAAAUAAUUAUUUUGGAUAUAAUUUACAUAUAUCUGA
This 45-nucleotide transfer RNA is filed under the name Panonychus citri (citrus red mite). RNAcentral describes it as "tRNA-Pro". Lineage: Eukaryota; Metazoa; Arthropoda; Arachnida; Trombidiformes; Tetranychidae. The record is from RNAcentral.